RNAcentral lists this ribosomal RNA (497 nucleotides) under uncultured bacterium. RNAcentral describes it as "partial 16S ribosomal RNA". It matches the Rfam family "Bacterial small subunit ribosomal RNA", at positions 28 to 507 of the family's 1533-position model. The record is from RNAcentral.
GAUGAACGCUGGCGGCGUGCCUAAUACAUGCAAGUCGAGCGAACAGACGAGGAGCUUGCUCCUCUGACGUUAGCGGCGGACGGGUGAGUAACACGUGGAUAACCUACCUAUAAGACUGGGAUAACUUCGGGAAACCGGAGCUAAUACCGGAUAAUAUAUUGAACCGCAUGGUUCAAUAGUGAAAGACGGUUUUGCUGUCACUUAUAGAUGGAUCCGCGCCGCAUUAGCUAGUUGGUAAGGUAACGGCUUACCAAGGCAACGAUGCGUAGCCGACCUGAGAGGGUGAUCGGCCACACUGGAACUGAGACACGGUCCAGACUCCUACGGGAGGCAGCAGUAGGGAAUCUUCCGAAAUGGGCGAAAGCCUGACGGAGAAACGCCGCGUGAGUGAUGAAGGUCUUCGGAUCGUAAAACUCUGUUAUUAGGGAAGAACAAAUGUGUAAGUAACUAUGCACGUCUUGACGGUACCUAAUCAGAAAGCCACGGCUAACUACGUG